Molecule: ribosomal RNA, 253 nt
Filed under: uncultured bacterium
Lineage: Bacteria
Description: partial 16S ribosomal RNA
Rfam family: Bacterial small subunit ribosomal RNA
Source: RNAcentral
UACGUAGGGGGCAAGCGUUGCCCGGAAUCAUUGGGCGUAAAGAGCGUGUAGGCGGCUCGAUAAGUCCGCUGUGAAAGUCCAGGGCUCAACCCUGGAAGGCCGGUGGAAACUGUCGGGCUAGAGUCCGGAAGAGGCGAGUGGAAUUCCCGGUGUAGCGGUGAAAUGCGCAGAUAUCAGGAGGAACACCGGUGGCGAAGGCGGUGAUCUGGGCCGACACUGACGCUGUAGAGCGAAAGCGUGGGGAGCGAACAGG